CAACCACGACUCUGCAGACCGGCGGAUGAGAGUUGAGUGCUUGUCCACACAAAAAGUCAGUGUCUAAGUGUCACGUAUUAUAAAGUCGUAGAUUCGUGUUGAGGUGCUCCUACCCAAGGUGUCUCGCCCCCGCCCCACCCAUUCUUUCCUCAUCUUAGGUCCUAUUGUGCUGCGUGUGAGUCCCACAUUCUCCAUCUUCCACCUUUUUUAGAGUUUCCUGUUGGGUUCCUCGCGGAAUCCCUCUUUAUUGUCGCGUUCACGGCGCGAAGUAGCCUUGGUCGUCUGGGCCCCCUUGCCCCGUCCGUUUCUGUCGCUCACAUACGUGGGCUUCCUCUUCCACGCCACCGCCACCCCAUUUCUUUCUUGCCCCAUUCACUCUUCGCGUUCUCGCUGUGUGCGACGCUGUCCGGUGUACCCAUUCUUUGCGAGGCGCGUGCAUAUAUAUAUAUAUAUAUUUCUUCUUCUCCCGCUGCCGCUGCUUCUCCUCUUCACCGUCCCUUCUCUCCUCUCACCCCCUCUCGCUCUCCUUUGUUCGUCUGUGUUGUUUCUUUCUUCACCUCUAUUGUUGCUCUCGAGAAAUUUCGGACUCGAAUGUAUAGUGUCUCUGCUUGAUGUACGAUAUCCUGUUCUGCCGCGCGCCCCCUUUUCCAAGUCUGCACACCUGCGUGCGCUGGUUCUGGAACUGUCCUGUGCAGGGCUCCCUCCCUCUCUCUUUCUCUCUCCACUUCGGUUCUCGCCUGCUUCCGGUGUCGUAUCUGGCGGCUGUUGUGCCGGUGGCGGCCGCUUCGUCCGUCCUGUGUGCUCCUUUCUUCUGGGCUCGUUUCUUUGUUGUUCUUUGUAGGCUCUGCCAACACACGGCACCGCUCACAAGGAGGACAGCCCCCUCACACACGCGCGGUUGUGGAUCUCCUUGCAUGCUCUCGCUGUGGUGGCGCAGCGUUGUCAUAGUCGCACCCUCCCUCCCUCCGCCCUUGUCUCGUUGUGUCUAAGGGACAGACUGUCCUUCCUACGCUUGCAUACAUUAUUCGAUUUAGAGUACCGUACACCUGCCAGGUGGCGCAGUUCUCACGACCCCUUUGGCGUGCAACUCUGCCUGCUACCACAGCGCUCUGUCGGCGUCUCACGCGUAGAAAAGUAUCGUCGUAACUGCCCCCUCGCUGCCUGCUCACUUUCUCCCUCCUUUAUUUGUGUGCUGAAGACAAGUGGCGCACGGACGUUGGGCGAUCACUCGCUAUCUGUACUAAGUAGCACUUCGAGGCUUGCUGGCGGUUGCGCUACUGUGAUAUCGGGCUUGCACGACACCGAACCUGGCCCCGCUGCAAAGGCCCUCGCAGCGACAAGGGCAAGGCGCUGCUCCUUACCUAUAGCAGAGCCACACGCACGGCAGCGCAAGUGAAGAGACUGGUGCGUGCACGGCGUCACAAUGUACGAAGAAGCAGGCUAUGCCGUUGUACAGCGGUACAGCCGAUGGCAGAAGAAGAAGGUGCGCACCAUCAUCGUCAACGCCCAUGCCAAGAUCGCGUCGCAGAAGUCCAUUGCUGGUGCCAUCGCUCUUGCAAAGCCGUUUGAUCGCAUCGAGUUGACCGGUGGGGAGUACCAUGAGUCCGUGGCUGUGCAGAUGCCGCUGGAACUGGUCGCCUCGGAGGGCGAGGAUCCGCACAUCUUCUCUCGUUUAUCCACCAUCACGAUCGCAACAAGUGGCAUCGAGGUCUACAUGGAGCGCAUUAUCGUCUCCUCUCGCAGUGGCAGCAAGCUCAACGCUGCCGUUGUCGCCGUCGCAGGCAACCCGAUUCUCUUCCGCUGCCACUGCAGCUCCCUGGUCAUCGGCGGCAACGCCGUAGCCCACGUCGACGAGUGCACUGUCAAGGAAAGUAGCAGCGGCGUCGGCAUCGUUGUGCACGAGAGUGGCGGCGGUAUCAUCAAAUCCUCCACGAUCCGCAAUCACCGCAACGUGUGUUUCGACAUUGACACGCGGGGCGGGCUAGCGGUGACAGAGUGCACGAUCGACAAUAGCACCGGUGGCGAUGCCAUGAGCAUCUCCGGCGCCGUCAGCUCCAUCAGUCGUGACUCCGGCUCCUCGUCCACGUCGUGCAGCCAGGUCGAGGUGACGCACUGCCACUUUUCCAUCUCCGACGACCCCAGCAGCGGUGCGUCUGGCGGGGUUUCCAUGAGCUCUGUAGGGAGUGCCUGUGGCAUCAUCCUCACCCAAGGAGCCGCGCCGACCAUCGCCUCGAACGAGUUCAUUGAGGGCGAGAUCGGCGUGCUGAUGGAAGGCCCUGGCACGGCGCAGCUCAAAGGGAACGUGAUCCGCUGCCAACGGCGCUGCGGCAUCUUGGCCCUUGUGGAGGAGAGCUUUGGCUACGCCCCCAACCAUCAGACGCUGCGUAUCACGGGUGAAAACGUCAUAGACCGCUGCCGCGUCGGCAUCGACGCACAGUGCGCCAUGAGCCGUGCCUCGUAUAUCCAGCAGCAGAAUUCCGCCACCGCCAUGACAGGAGCCGGAUCUGGCGUUGGUGCCCCCGCCGAAGCCGGCCUUAACGUCAGCGCCAUCGGCGGCAGCAUGAGCGGGGCGGAUCGUUUCUUGUCUGACGAACUGCCAAACCCGAAGCGGGCCUUUGCGUGGACACCGGUCCAAGGCAGCACAUCGUCGCCAUCCUCGUGUGACGCGGCCUGCUUCCUACCCUCCACCUCGCCGACGACCCCGCUUGUAUGCAUUGAGAGCAAGUGGUGCUCGCUGGACCAGCUCAGGGCCAAUCUCCAGCAGCUCGUGACCAUGACACUGCAGGCCAACCCCACAUGCCUGCAGCCGGCUUUCGAGAUCGGCACCAGCACCGCCUCGAUCGUGAAUGAGGGGCUCGACGCCACCUCUGCGAACCCGUUCGCCGGCAUCUUGAACGACAUGCUGGGCACGCAACUCAGCCACCGAAAGGACACCCCAGCAUCGCAGCGCGAAGUGCUGCGGCUGCGCGGGAACAAGGGCAUCGACAUCAUCAACACAAAGUUCUCCAACUGCGAUAUCUGCGCCAUUCGCUUCGGCCGCCAAGGGUACGGACUGGUCGAGGACUGCGUGUUUGAGGAUUGUGGAGCAUACGCGAUCGUCGUGGAUUGCGCAGCGCACCCGCUCAUCACCGGCUGCCGCUUCCUGCGCUCUCGCGGGGCCAGCAUCCUGGUGAGCAACUUUGCGAAUCCGCUCAUCAUCGGCAACGAGGUGGCGAGCGGGAAGCGAGACGGCAUUCAGCUUGCCAGCAUGAGCCGCGGUUUGAUUAUCGGCAACAUCAUCGCCACUCACGUUGGAGCCGGCAUCCGCGUCGACAAAUACAGCCAGCCCCUCAUCUGCGCCAACGCCAUCUCGCAGAACCGCAAAGGUGGCAUCGCUGUCGCCGAAGGUAGCAAGCCGACGAUUCUGCUCAACAAACUUGCAGCGAACCUGUACGCACAGGUGAACUGCACCGAAGGCGCCGACGCCUUCAUCUCGCAUAACCGCAUCACCGCCUCCACAGACACCGGCAUCCGCAUCGACUCGUGCAGCCGCUGCACUGUCCUUUCCAACACCAUCAGCUUCAACGGCGACGGCAUCCUCGUCGAGCUGGACGCCGACCCUUACGUUGAGGACAACGACAUCACAGACAACACGUGCGCAGGAGUGCGCGCGUGCAACAACGCGCUAGGCGUGUUCGUGGGGAACCGCAUCCGCAAAAACGCGGGGCCGAACGUGCUCUUGACGGAGGGCGCCUCCUCGGUGUUUCGAGCUAAUCGCAUCGAGAAUAGCUCACAAGGAGGCGUGGUCGUGUGCAACGAGGGGCACGGCUUCUUCGAGCGCAACACCAUCGCAACGAACGCGACCGCUAAUGUGCUGGUGGCGGGUGCGUAUUCGGAGCCGGAGUUUCUGCGCAACGUCAUCUCUAGCUCGCGCUCUGGCUGCGGCAUCGUCUGCGGGCGCAGCGCCGGUGGCAGCUUCCUGCGCAACAGCAUUCACGGAAACUACCAGUGCGGUGUGUUCAUCCUGGAGGGGUCGAAUCCGACGUUUCGGGGCAACAAUAUCGCACGCGAGGCUGUCGGCGUACUCGUGUCGGACGGCGGCAAGGGAUUGUUCACACAGAAUAUCAUCGAGGACUGCUACGGCAGCGGCGUGCUGGCACAGCGGCAGGCGGACCCGGUCUUUUCACAGAACAGGGUGACGCGCUCUCAGAUGAGCGGGCUGCAUAUCGCCCCGGACAGCGCCGGCCUGUUUGAGCGGAAUGAAGUGACGCGGAACGACAUUGGGGUGCAGUUCGGCUCAUCGAUGGACUCCGCAGUCAUUCAGAUUCACUCUGCGUAUCUUGAUGACGCCGACACGAGCAACAAGGACUUGUCGGCGUCGUUGCAGCGCAAGGCAUCACGUACAGCACAGCACCGCUCUAGCGUGUUCGCGACCAACACGGAUGCGAGUGUGCUGCGCAGCCUUGCGAGCGCGUCGCUGCAGCGGAGUGCGAGCGUGGUUCGGCUGCCGACAAGCGUCGUUCGCGGCAACAUCAUCACCGCCAACCUACGAGGUGGUGUUUUGUUGGAUGCCUUUCCUAACGGCACGUUGGAGGAGAACGACAUCUUCCAGAACAACGCGUACGGCGUCCGUGGCGACGCCACGUACGGUGCAGCGCGUGCGCUGGCGAUUUUGACGACCACGCUUGGUGUCGCAGACCGUACCUCUGUUAUACGGCCGCGAUCCUUGCAGCAGCAGCAGCAGCAGUCCUCCUUUGAGCAGCUGCAAACAUUAAUGCUGAUUCGCGCAAACAAUAUCUACGGCCACGACGAGGCGAACAUCUUCCUUGAUCACUUCGACGGCGAUAAGCACGAGACGGCCAUCACCGAGAACACCAUCUACGGGGCCCCGUACGGCGUGUGCGUGGCGAACAACUCCACGGUUUACUCGAUGAGCAAGAACGAGGUUCACACAUGCAUGGACGGUUUCGCCUUUGCAAGCGGCGGCCACGGCUGCUACACGGCGAACCACAUCCGCGACUGCACCUACUCGGGUGUCUACAUCUCCGACAAGGCCUACCCUGACUUCACGGACGCCAACCGCAUCGAGAAAUGCGGCUUCAGCGGCGUCCUGGUGGACGUGAACGGCCAAGGCGUGUUUCUCAACAACACCAUCUGUCACUGUGCCACGGGCGUCGUCGUAUUCUGCGGCCCCACCACGCCGUUUCACGUGUCCUAUGAGGAGGUCAUUCAUGCGCGCAUCCUCUCCUCCACGCCGACGUUCACGGCGAACACGAUCGAAGAAAAUGAACUUCAUGGCGUGCUGCUGAUCAGCGUCAUUUCGGGAUGUCCGCUGCGCUCGCCUCUACUUCUGUCCUGCAGCGACGCUGGCGGGAAGUCUGCCGAAGUUCCUCCGGCAGACAGCUCAACUGACGAGCCGCUGCACGACGAGCCCGCACCCUACUCCUGUGCGGUCGGCGGGACCGUGACGGCGCGAGGCAAUCGACUCUGCGCCACCUUCGAGAAAAAUAUUAUUCGACGCAAUCGCAUGAUGGGCGUUUACCAUGACCGCUUUGAGCACUGGGACCUCUCGGCGCUCGAGAAGACGCACGCGGAGACGAAGCCGUCCGCCGGCAACCCAGUGAAGAACGCGCAUGGCGGGUACGAGAUUCUGCUUGGCACGUCGCAAAUCCUCGACAACGACGAGCACCAACGGCAGCGUCAGCUGAAGCAGGUGAGUCUUAUCGAGAACAUCAUCACAGAGUGCAGCGUCGGCGUCGGUGCCGGGUACGGGUGCCAUCCGUAUCUUCAGCGCAACAAGAUCCAUCACAACACUUUCUUCGGCCUCCUCCUGCGCUUCGGCUCAGCUGUCUCGGCUUACGCGAAUGACAUCUGCGACAACGGCCUGGCUGGCGUGUACGCGGCGAUCGGGGCGAAGGGGUACAUUGCGAAAGGUAUCAUCGAGUCAAACAACGGCUGGUGUCGGCCGGAGGCGAGUCCGCACACGCCGCGCAGCUUCGACGACUGCACCUUUUCAAAGUCGUUUUUCACGCAGGCGAUGGUGGGCACUGUGGAGGAGAAGGUGCGCGCCACCGCCGUCAGGGCAGGUAGGACACUUCGCGCGUGCUGCCGCGCGUACGAGCAGAUGACUCGCCUUGCCGAGGUCCACGUCUUCACCAUGACGGACGCCCUCCGCUACCUCGCCGAGCUGGUCGCAGCCUCUUCGGGUGGCUUGACGCUCGCCAGCGGCUGUGCGCCGUCGUCGCUCUUUGAAGUGGUCGAAGAUGCCUCGUCUAGCGCGAAGGGCGCGGCAGCGUCAGGUAGGCGGUGGCUCGGUGGUGUGGCGUUGGCCGAUUACGCGGACGUAUCCACGGCCGACGGCGGCAUCGGGGUUUGGGUGCAGGCGGGAAGUCGGGUGACGAUUCAGGGCAACAGAAUCGGCAAGCACCAGAACAGCGGUGUGUUGAUCACAAAAGGCGUACUGCAGCACCAUUCGGUCCUGCACAAAUCGUUCAACAUGGAGGAAGGCAGUAAAGGGAACAAGAAACUCGAGAUGGUGGCCUCCCUACCUGGCCGUGCGAAGUCGAUGAAGACGACGGCGAGCAGCGCGACGGUGGACAUCUUUGCCGGGCAACGUGAAGCACCGCCUCUUGCCUGCGCGGAGCCCGGUGCCCUCUUCACGACACAGAUGCUCUACGCAACGGGAAUUUUGGCGGCCGUGCAGGUGGCUGCAUCCACUACCUUCGAGAGCCUUGACGCCGACUUUGCGUCCUUCUUGCACCACAGCCUCUCCCUCUCCUCGUUGAAUGGGCUCGAGGCCGAGGAGAAGAGGCAGCGCGUGGACUCUCUCCACCACGUCCACAUCGCAGACAACGUCAUUAGCAGCAACAGGGACGGGCUGCACGUCGAGGUGUUUCACCGCCUACAGGCGUGUGCCACGCCCAGCGCGGCCACGGCUGCUGCGGCUUCAAUCAGCCGCAUCAAGCCGCACUCCGGUGGUGGGGCAAACAGCACGAUUGAUCUGAUGCCGCACGCUCCCACAGAAGCACACGCGCUACCGCGGUUUCAGCGCGCACGUACGCCAAAGUUCUCCGCGGCACCGACGGCCUUUGCGAACGACACAGCUUCGGAGGCGGCGGCGACGAGUGCCCUCCGCGCCUCGUCGCACGACAUUGACGUGAUGGAGUGCGCCUACAGUACCUCCGACUUCACGAUCGUGGUGGAGGGGAACACCGUGACACAGAAUCGUCGCUACGGCGUGUACGCGGUGCACGUGGCGAACGUGCACUGCGAGCGCUGGCUCUCGGGGCGUAGCGUGCUGAACGAGACCAUCGCAUCUCAGUACGACAGCAUUCGCUCCAAGCUGGUCCUGGGGCAGGAGACGACACGAGUGAGUGUGACGCUGCCGUUUGAGUUGCAUGCGCUCCAGCAAAAGGUAGGCCACGCCCUGUUCCGGAAGAACGACCUCUUCCGCAACCAGCACAUGCAAGUCUGCGUGACGUCACGGUACGUUGCCCUGACGCAAGACGGCGACCAAACGCUGCUGCAGCUGGACACGACGACCCCCCUGUCGGGGUCCAACUACGCCUCGCAGGUGCUCGUCGGGGUCCCCGUGAUGGCGAGUCUACUCCAGUUGCCGCCGCCUGGGUUGCUGCUAUGGGAUGAGAACAAGGUACGCGACGCGAAGAGCGGGGUGCUGCUUUGCGGCUACCUCGGACCGCACAGCGUCCGCUUUCAACGCAACACCUUCGCGAACAUCGCCAGCGACGCCCUCUGUGUGCAGGGACAUCUAGCGUGUGCGACAGUGGGGAAGGGGAACGUCUUUGAGCGCAAUGGUGUCGGGCUCCGCCUGGCGCAGCAGCAACGGAUUCGCCUCGUGACGUCUCCGGCAACGGUGCUGAGCCACCUGCGAACGCGCGUCUUUCAUAACACCUUCAGAGAAGCCAAUGACUCGUCGAUUUUGCUGGAGUGCGUCGGUGAGGAGGCGCCGCUGGUGUACCAAAACGAGUUCAGUCGGCACACGGCGGGCACGGCGGCGCUGUACUUGCGAAGUGAAAGGGCCGGCGGAGCGGCGGUGGUGCAGGGCAACGUCUUUUCGGAGAACUACAUCCCCGUCUUUCUGGUUGGUGGAAGCGAGUCUGGGGUAGAGGGCCCGCUCCACGCCUCCCCCAUCACCCUCGUCGAGAAUCGGUUCACGUGCAACUACGUCGGCGCCAUCGCCUGCAGCGGCGCUGCCCCGACACUCGAGCGAAACAUCUUCGAAAAAAACGCCCGGGCAGGCCUGGAGGUGGUGGGGAGCGGCACCCGACCGCAGCUCCGCCACUGCGUUUUCCGCGAGCACAGGCGGGCCGGCGACGGAGGGGAUUUGACGAUGCCCUGCCCAAAUCAAGGGACGCUCCAGCUCGAGUGCCGCAACUUCUCCUUGAAGCUGCUGCCCGAGAACGCUCGCGUGCUCACUGCCACGAGUCAGGCACGGCUACCGGCUGGCUUGCUCAUCGGUCCAUUGACCGAGCCGGUGGUGGACGCGUGCGGUUUCAUCAAUAAUGACAUCGGCGUGGACGCCGUGCGGGAUGCUGCGAGUCCGGCCAUUGCGUUGGCAGGACCGAAAGCGCACUUCAAAGGAUGCCUAUUCACGCAGCACCAGGUCUGCGGUGUGCUGGUGCGCGGUUUCCACGGUGCAGCCGACGGCAGCGGAGGCGGAGGCAGGGGUGUGGACGAGAGAGGCGGUGGCGCCGCCAAAGGGACUACCGAAGGCCGAAAGCCGACCGACGGUGCCGUCGAUGUCAGCAGUGCACUCAGCAUGGCGGGCACGACAGUUUUUGAGCGGUGCGUGUUCACGAAUAACGCCACGGCCAACGGCGGCGGCGACGUGGUGGCGAUGGAGGACGGCUGCGCAACGUUUCGCGAGAACGUCUUCUGCGGAGCCGUCGUGGGAAAGACGGGUGGUGUAGCCUGCUUCACGCAGAACAGCUUCAUCGCCUUGUCAGAUGGCGAUGCCGCUACCCUUAGGGGGGCGGCGCACGACUCGUCGCCCUGCUCAGGCGCUGCCAACGGCGCCGCUGCUGCGGUCGUCAUUCAGGAGGGUGGUCGCAUUGUAGCCGGCCAAAAUACAAUCGUGCAUCGCAAAGUCGGUGUGCAGUGCCUGCCUGGCGCGGAGGGCGUUGUGACAGACAACCGCAUUGUGCAAUGCGUGACGGGAUUGGUGCUCGCGCCCUUCAACCGCACAGACGUAAACAAGAACCGGGUGCUCGACAGCGUGGAUUGUGGCGCCGUCGCCUACGGCGGUCGAAUGGAAGACAAUAAGAUCAUCAAGGCCCCUACGGGGAUCCUGGUGCAGCACUCCUCCGUCUACAAGGGCAUCAAUGCAGUCCCAUCGCACAAGCGCGACGCGCUGGGGUUCCUCUGCAUUGGUAACAGAAUCGUCGACUGCGCCAAGAAUGGCCUCCUCAUCACCACCGCCGGCGUCUUCGACGGCAACAGCGUGUCGCGCUGCAAGAGCGGCAUCCACAUCGCCUCGCCUCUCAACGGUGGGCCCGCCGGCUCGUGCCCGGUGAUCAAAAACUGCAGUGUCUAUGACAACGGCGUGGGGGUCUGCAUGGAACACGAGUCUGAGUCGGUGGUGCGGGACAACGACAUCUUUGAUAAUGAGACGGUGGGCUUGCUCGUCGCCGCGACGGCGACAGGGACUCUGCAGGACAACCACAUCUCCUCCCCCGUCGACCAGGGCGCGGUGGAGAUGGCGGUGGAGUCGCGGUUGAAGUCGUUCGGCAACGUCAUCCGAAACCAGUUCUCGCCGGCCUUCCAGCGCGGCACACGAGCGAGCCGCGCAAAGGACUACCAACUUGAGCAGGCAGACCUCGAUCGGGAGCUGCGAGACCUGGACGGCACUGUCGAGCAGGCGCAUCACAGCAUGGAGGCUGUCUCAAGCGGCUUGUGGUCGCUUCAGCAGGAACUCAUCAGCAUGCACUCGAGAUCCAUCGCGAACUUCGCGGCAUUGAUGGCGGGGCCGGCAGGAAGCGCACUGCGCGUUGCCAGCGCGCGGGCUGGCACGAUGACGGCUGCCGCUUUCUCCGACAAGAAAGAUGAUCGCCCCACUCUGGGUAAGCAGUCGAUCAGCAAUGCUAAGAGCACUUUAGAGAGCGGGAGCAGCGUCACCGGUGCCGCGGCAUCGCGCAAGCGCUCCUUAGGCUCGGUUGGGCGAUGGACCACUGGUGCCGGCACCAGCCGCGUCCCUGCCGUUUCGAUGGGUAUACGCAAGCAGUCUAAGGCGGGAUUGUCUACGAAGGCCGACCCCGGUGGAAAGGCCACGCGUAGCGCCGCUUCGGCGGACCCAAUGAAGGUUCUCGUCCACGUUUUCACUAGCGCCGCGACGAGUUCAGGCGCGGACGCGGUUGGUCAGGCAAUCACUGGCGUACUUGCCAAGGCGCCUCUCUCAAAGUACAACUUUAUUUCCACCGUCUCCACCUCGACGUCACAGCUGCUGCGACUGCUCGGUGGCCCCCACCCCAUGCAGCCGUUUCUCUGCGUGGUCGUCGUCGACGCAAACUUUGGCCACUUUAGCCCGUCAGACCACGACGCGCUGCAGCAGCUGCACAAGAGCGCUUGCGUUGACCGUCUCACCACGCACCGGGGAGCGACCGAGGCUGCCGGCAGAGACUCUCAGGAGGUGUCGAGCCUCUUUUACACUGUUCUACCCGGCAGUUUCUGCAAGAAGGACGAGGCAAGCCCGAGUGGGGACGGUGUCAUGAGCAUGGAGGCUUAUGCGGCAGCCCAUCAUCCGUUCACCUACACCGCCUCCGUAGAAGAGGUGCUUGACGUCCUACAUGACCGAAUCAGCCAGGACAUGAAUGCGUCCACCGCAUCAGCAGCAAACUGCCUUUCGCGAAGCAUCACCCUGCAGGACGUCCAAGUCUCUGUCACGGAAAGCACGGUGGGCAACCCCCCGAUCGAUGACGACGACAGUCGUAGCCGCAGUGCGUCUGUAAGUGGCGGGUGCUCUGCCCUCACGUGUGAGAGCCGCAGCGGGUCCACUUUCCUCACAGUCGAGCACGUGAGCUCCCUUUUCUCGAAGCUUACACCCGAGGCUCUCGGCUUAGAACCCUCGAAGGACGCGCGAAACAUGAAGAGGCAGAAGUCUUCGGUGGUACUCAGUGUCCACGAGGAGGGCGACAUCAGUGAACUCGAUCAUACGAGACGAAGCGGAGGGGGAUCAGUGCACCACCGAAGAGGAUCCACUGCCUCCAAGUCCGCUGGCCAAGGCGCGCCGGCUGGCCGUCGCCGAUCCUCCGUCGUCAGUUCGAGGAGCGGGCGCCGCACCUCAGUGGCUUCAAAAAAGAGCUGAACACGACAUGGUGGCGCUGUCCCCGCCGGGCGGAUCAAAGACGAAACGCAUGUUUGGUUGGGCUGUUUCCUACCUCGUCUCCCGCUCUUCCUGCGAGUGUUGGUGCGGAUAGAUUCAUGAACGCAACCGUGGCGCCGACGGCCGCCCGUGCACUCUUUGUUGUCCCCCCUCCCAUUAUGUCGCGUAUGUGUCUGCCCUCUGCCGUUUACACAAUUCCUGCUGUCCGCGCAUGCGUGUAUGUGUGGCUGUGUUUUGUAGGCUGUAAUGAGAGCCUCUCGUCACCCCGCCCCUGAGUUGCCCAUCAUCGGCGCUGAGUCAAAUUUGUCUGAACGUCCCUCCUCCCCUAACCUGCCGCACUCAUACUUUUCCUCGGUGCCCAAUCCUCGUUGUUGCGAGUGAUAAGGCAGAGGGAGAGGGGCUCGGCGCCGGGGAGAGGGUGCGAUGCACGCACUGACUGCCCAUCUCUCCAAGAACAGAAAGAAUAACAGCAUCGAAAAGAGUCUCUCUUCUCAUGAUCACGGACGUAGUCGGUGCUGGUGCGCGCCUCGGUGCGGCUGCAGCUGUACGUGGUCGCGAAGCGCGCAAAGCAGCAGCGACUGCGCGCUUUUGGCCGCAUGCUGCAGCCUUCAAGGUAACCACGGCAAGUCUGUGGCAUCCUCUUCCCCGCACCCACCUUGGCGAGCUCCUUUGGUAUCGGUCGCAAAUGUCGUGCUGUCUGUCGGAAAGGAGCUCCGUCAGCGAAGGGCGUCUUAUACCCGGCAGCAUUCCAGGUUUGAUCAUCUUACGCAUCUCCGCCUUCGCUGGCUGGUGCCUCCUCUCUCGUUUUCGCGCCACCGGCAACAG
This 12142-nucleotide unclassified non-coding RNA is filed under the name Leishmania donovani. RNAcentral's name for it is "gene:LdHU3.27.1070(CDS-product:Right_handed_beta_ helix_region/Periplasmic_copper-binding_protein_(NosD)_puta tive)". Lineage: Eukaryota; Euglenozoa; Kinetoplastea; Trypanosomatida; Trypanosomatidae. The record is from RNAcentral.